GACGAACGCUGGCGGCGUGCUUAACACAUGCAAGUCGAACGGAAAGGCCCUGCUUUUGUGGGGUGCUCGAGUGGCGAACGGGUGAGUAACACGUGAGUAACCUGGCCUUGACUUUGGGAUAACUUCAGGAAACUGGGGCUAAUACCGGAUAGGAGCUCCUGCUGCAUGGUGGGGGUUGGAAAGUUUCGGCGGUUGGGGAUGGACUCGCGGCUUAUCAGCUUGUUGGUGGGGUAGUGGCUUACCAAGGCUUUGACGGGUAGCCGGCCUGAGAGGGUGACCGGCCACAUUGGGACUGAGAUACGGCCCAGACUCCUACGGGAGGCAGCAGUGGGGAAUAUUGCACAAUGGGCGGAAGCCUGAUGCAGCAACGCCGCGUGCGGGAUGACGGCCUUCGGGUUGUAAACCGAUUUCGCCUGUGACGAAGCGUGAGUGACGGUAAUGGGUAAAGAAGCACCGGCUAACUACGUG
Molecule: ribosomal RNA, 468 nt
Filed under: uncultured bacterium
Lineage: Bacteria
Description: partial 16S ribosomal RNA
Rfam family: Bacterial small subunit ribosomal RNA
Source: RNAcentral